AGGGGCGUAGUUCUAAUGGUAGAGCAGCGGUUUCCAAAACCGACGGUUGAGAGUUCGAGUCUUUCCGCCCCUGCCA
RNAcentral lists this transfer RNA (76 nucleotides) under Succinivibrio sp. RNAcentral describes it as "tRNA-Trp". It matches the Rfam family "tRNA". From Rfam's summary of the family: Transfer RNA (tRNA) molecules are approximately 80 nucleotides in length. RNAcentral also lists the same sequence under 2 other names. The record is from RNAcentral. Lineage: Bacteria; Pseudomonadati; Pseudomonadota; Gammaproteobacteria; Aeromonadales; Succinivibrionaceae.